UCCCAGACUCCUACGGGAGGCAGCAGUGGGGGAUAUUGCACAAUGGGGGCAACCCUGAUGCAGCGACGCCGCGUGAGCGAUGGAGUACUUCGGUAUGUAAAGCUCUGUCAGCAGGGAAGAGAAUGACGGUACCUGACCAAGAAGCCCCGGCUAAAUACGUGCCAGCAGCCGCGGUAAUACGUAUGGGGCAAGCGCUAUCCGGAUUUACUGGGUGUAAAGGGAGCGCAGGCGGUACGGCAAGUCUGAUGUGAAAGCCCGGGGCUCAACCCCGGUACUGCAUUGGAAACUGUCGGACUAGAGUGUCGGAGGGGUAAGUGGAAUUCCUAGUGUAGCGGUGAAAUGCGUAGAUAUUAGGAGGAACACCAGUGGCGAAGGCGGCUUACUGGACGAUUACUGACGCUGAGGCUCGAAAGCGUGGGGAGCAAACAGGAUUAGAUACCCGCGUAAA
RNAcentral lists this ribosomal RNA (448 nucleotides) under uncultured bacterium. Its description in RNAcentral is "bacterial SSU rRNA". It matches the Rfam family "Bacterial small subunit ribosomal RNA", at positions 329 to 794 of the family's 1533-position model. The record is from RNAcentral.